Long non-coding RNA from Nymphaea colorata (pocket water lily), 1465 nucleotides. RefSeq lists it as uncharacterized. The transcript has 7 exons. The record is from RefSeq and is a predicted model, not a curated record. Lineage: Eukaryota; Viridiplantae; Streptophyta; Magnoliopsida; Nymphaeales; Nymphaeaceae.
CUCGGACUAUGUCUUUUGCGGGUUUCGUGUCUGACGUUUGCAAUUAAUUCGAUCGAAUACUGUUUCAACAUUGAAAGAAUACAUCAAAUAUCCUGUCUGACUUUCUAUCUGCGAGUGAUCUAACAUAUUUCCUUGAAGCCGAUGAGAACCGACCCAAGAGAGGACCGAGAUGGCUUGAGGAGCUCAUCUAUGACCCAACAAUGGCGGUAACGAUUACGAGGGGCGCCAAAACGGAGCGUAACCCUGUGUUGGAGGGAAGCAAAGGGGGAGGAGGGCGACGAAGAAGAUGAAGUAGAAUUUGAAGGAGAAGAAGAGAAGAUCGUGGAGGCAAUGAGCAGCAAAGAGCCAAAGACUGUUAAAAGGCUUAAAGGAGUCUCCCCCCACGACUUCAUUCCUGCUUUCUAGUUCCUCCUUUCGCUACGGUUUUCUUGACGCUAGAUACUCUUGUGUUGGGCACUAGAUGAUGUUGGCAGGAGCUUUGCAAAUGUGAUGGAUCCAUAAUCUUCUAUGGCACUAAUCGCGGUGGCACAGGGAAGGAAUGUUGCGUCUCGUGUGCAGCGUGACCUUGAUCAGGUUGCCAACCAGUGGCCAGAUUGGAUAUAUAUAUAUAUAUAUAUAUAUAUAUAUAUGUAUGUAUUUAUAUAGGAAGUUAUUUUUUUAAGAUGGUCUGAUCGUCUAUGCAAGUAGGGGGAUUAAAUCUGUGGGCGACUAUGGAAUUCAGGCAUCCUAGAAGAUAGUGGACAAGAUUCGGAUCCUCAAAACUCGUCUGGAGACAAAUAAAUAUGUAAGGAGAAGAGCACUGGACAGUGGUGUUUCCCAUUUCCAAUUACUAUUACCACGAAGUGGAGUGGUGCAGAAGUUGAAAUUUGCUUCCCAACUGGGCAUUUUCCUGUCAUCUUCUGCUAAAUCAAAUGAGCUCUAUCGGUGGUCUUACAUUAUCUUUGCAAGUUUAGCAGUUGCUCAACAAUGGGUUGUAAAACUUUGUUCCUGUAGCCUUUCCUGUGGUACUUGAACAAUUCUUGUGUACUGUCUCCCUGUCCUUUGUUUGAUGCACAAGCUGAGCAUGGGAAGGCUCAUGACCAGAUUGUUUCAAAUUAAAAGUCUCAAGCUACGUCAAAUGGGUACAGGGUUAACCAAGGUGCAGGUACCAGAAGUUGGGUAUUCUCUUUUCAACUGGCCAGUUUCCUGUCAUUUUCUGCUGAAUCAAAUCAGCCCUGUAGGUGCUCUUACAUUAUCUUUGCAUGUUUCACAGUUUGCUCAACAAUGGGUAGUAAAAGAUUUGUUCCUGUAGUCUGUGGAAUGUGAACAAUUCUUCUGCACUGUUUCACUUUUCCUUUUCUUUGGAAGGCUCAUGACAAGAUUGUGCCGAUGCCAAGAGAGACGCAUCUGUGUAUUGAACUCCUGUCCUUCUUCAACUUAAUUGUCUCAAGUCUGGCCUCCUGGCCAUGUGGGAUGCUGUCUUUGU